This is a non-coding RNA of Pholiota molesta, 84 nucleotides long. The record is from the annotation of a GenBank genome assembly. NCBI's taxonomy places the organism in Eukaryota, Fungi, Basidiomycota, Agaricomycetes, Agaricales, Strophariaceae.
GGCGCUAUAGUGUAGUGGUUAUCACUCGAGAUUCUGAUGUUUACAGAUGUUCUCGAAACCCAGGUUCGAUCCCUGGUAGCGCCU